Molecule: non-coding RNA, 675 nt
Organism: Pelobates cultripes (western spadefoot toad)
Lineage: Eukaryota; Metazoa; Chordata; Amphibia; Anura; Pelobatidae
Source: the annotation of a GenBank genome assembly
CACUCAAGCUGUGCAAGCUAACUGUUAACUUCCCAACACAUAUUAUGUAACAAACUGAAUGGCAUCCAUGGUGAUUUAUCUCUGUCUCUUCCUAUCCUAGAUGAGGAACCCACUCAACCUUUCAAGCCAGGAGACAGAGUACUGAUCACAAAAGCUGAAGAAGAAAAGGCCAACAGACAUUCCCAUUGAACCUCCAAGAACAGCAGUUCUGACAGACGAGAGUUCAACAUAGAUCCACACCUGCAGGAUCAAGAAAGCAUCCAGAAGCCAGAUAAAUUACAAUUCUUAGCCAAGGAUAAACCCUGGCAUUGAGGAGAAAACUUUUUUAGGCAUUUAUAUCCUCAUGCUUGUGCAAUUGCUAUCAAAACCAUUUUGUUUUGCCUCUUUAUGCCUUUACACACUUUUACCAACCACCAUGCAAUAAGACAUACAACAGGCCAGCUUAUCAUCGUGGGAAAUUUACAACAAUUUCAUAUGGGCGGCAAGAAUAGGACACUCUUUAAAUGCCUAAUUGCUAAAGUUUGUUCCCCUAAACCCUACUCUCCCUCCACUACCACCUAUUUUUCAAUGACACCCAAAGGUGUUACCAUCAUUUGAUCAACAGGAAGCUCACUAAAGUCUGCAUGGUCUCCAUGGUCAUGGUAAACCUCCAAUUAUCACACCUCUCUAAUCCCA